Monodelphis domestica (gray short-tailed opossum) is the source of this 1687-nucleotide long non-coding RNA. NCBI's taxonomy places the organism in Eukaryota, Metazoa, Chordata, Mammalia, Didelphimorphia, Didelphidae. The record is from Ensembl.
GCCGGAGCUGGAGCCGCGGGCGCCCCGCGCGCUGUGGGAGCGGAGCGGGAGGGGCGGGGGAGGAGGCCCGGGAACGCGCACGCUCGGCCGCGUCCAGCCGGGGCCAGGAGCCGGCCGUCUUCGGGGGCGCGCACGAUUGGGCCGAGGCGGAAAAGGCCAUAGUAGGGGCGCGCACGCNGGGGAGGGGGCCGAGACAAAGCGGCCGCUAAUGAAUGGGGACCGGGAUCCGGAUCCGGCUGCUCCUCCUCCUCCUCCGCCUCCUGCAGCCGGGCCGCCGGGCCGAGGCCGGGGCCGGAGACCGCCGCGGAGGUGAGUGGGGGAGGGGCGGGGGGUGGGGGGGGCUUCCAACCCCCCUCCCCCGGGGCCCCGGGCCCCCAUUGUUUGCGGCUUCGACCCGGCCCGGCCCGGCCGCCACGCGGCCCGGCGCCUUGACAGCUGCCCUGGGCCGCGGGGAGGUGGCGCCCGCUGGGGGGGGUGGGUCGGGACCCCGUGGGCAGUCCCCCACCGAGCCCGCUCGGACCCAGACUCGGCCCGACCCGUUCGGCGUCCGGGGUAGGGGUGGGGGAGGGGGCGUCCUUCCGUCGGUCGGUCCGGCAGUCCGACGGUGCCGGGCACCCCGCAGUGGGCCCCAGGGCAGCCGGCAGGGGUUGGUGCAUCCCUUGGGGUCCCCUGCCCCGGGGGAGCUCGCCCGCCUGGGCCAGGCUGGGGUCCGGGGGCCCGGGAGAAAGGAAGUGAGUGAGUGUGGUGAAUGGGGGCAGCAAGUGGAGUUCUCUCUGGUCGCUUCUACUCGGGAAAUACAGAAAUACUGGUCCUUGGGUGGGGGGCGGGGGGGGGUUCCUGAGCCGGGCUUCGUGACCCGGGCAUGUCCUGGAGUCUUUAACCACCCCCCAUGCCCCCCCCCCCCAAACAAUCUCCCAUCCGGAACAAACUUCAGCGACAUUGAUCGCUGCCUCUUGUGGAAAGAGAAGAGGCUGGGCACGCUCUGCUGGUCCCCGGGGGGCAGGUGCAUGGGGAUGAGGCGGGGCGAGCGCCAUAAAGACCCAAGAGCGGGGCUCUCCUGUGGGGGGAGAAAGUGUCCGCCGGGCUGCGAGGCAGUGGGACUGACCCCAGUCUCAACUAGUUGGGUCUGGGCUUGGGGGUGGGGCCUCGCCCACCCGAGGGAGGAAGUUAGCUGCCACCGGAGGGAUGGUCCCCCGAAGGGCACAGAGGAUUCCCAGGCGGCUGGAGCCUGCGCUCCCCUGCCCGCAGGCCUGACUUCCCCUGCUAACACCGCCGUCCCGUCUCGGUGUUUCAGAUCCUGUGCGGACAUAUGGUCGGGAAAGUGGAGAAGUGUGGGCGAUGAAGCCGAGGCACCGGGAGAAGAUGCUGAGUGAUGUAAAAGGAUCGUGUUUACAUUUUCAAGAUGGAUGGAAUGCUGACUUUGAGAAGAGAAGCUGAACCGUCUCUGGUGUUCACAACAUGGAGCGUCUCCUACUCAAGAGGCUGGAGCAUGGCAACUUAGGCCCUGGGACGAUCUGCUUCUGAGGAGAUGCAGAGGCUUUUGUGAGUUGUGUCUACAAGUUCUCAGUAAGAACUGGCAAUGAAUCCUGUUUGCAGAAAUGGCCACAUGAAAGAAGACUGAAGAUUGGGUGUCUGUGCUUUUUCCCAGACUCAGUUAUCUGGAUCAAACUGUACACAAUGAUGCAGC